CCCUUAGAUGUUCUGGGCCGCACGCGCGCUACACUGAUGCAUUCAACGAGUUUUUCCUGGUCCGAGAGGAAUGGGUAACCUUUUGAAAGUGCAUCGUGCUAGGGAUAGACUAUUGCAAUUAUUGGUCUUCAACGAGGAAUUCCUAGUAAACGCAAGUCAUCAGCUUGCAUUGAUUACGUCCCUGCCCUUUGUACACACCGCCCGUCGCACCUACCGAUUGAAUGGUCCGGUGAAAUCUUCGGAUCUGAGAGAUGUCUGAUUAAUUUCGGACGCCUUUUGGAAAAGUUGUUUAAACCUUACCAUUUAGAGGAAGGUGAANUCGUAACA
Molecule: ribosomal RNA, 327 nt
Filed under: uncultured eukaryote
Lineage: Eukaryota
Description: partial 18S ribosomal RNA
Rfam family: Eukaryotic small subunit ribosomal RNA
Source: RNAcentral